This 77-nucleotide transfer RNA is filed under the name Salmonella enterica subsp. enterica serovar Heidelberg. RNAcentral describes it as "tRNA-Val". It matches the Rfam family "tRNA". Rfam says of the family: Transfer RNA (tRNA) molecules are approximately 80 nucleotides in length. Their secondary structure includes four short double-helical elements and three loops (D, anti-codon, and T loops). The record is from RNAcentral. RNAcentral also lists the same sequence under 2 other names. Lineage: Bacteria; Pseudomonadati; Pseudomonadota; Gammaproteobacteria; Enterobacterales; Enterobacteriaceae.
GCGUCUGUAGCUCAGUUGGUUAGAGCACCACCUUGACAUGGUGGGGAUCGAUGGUUCGAGUCCAUUCAGACGCACCA